This is a long non-coding RNA of Erpetoichthys calabaricus (reedfish), 324 nucleotides long. RefSeq lists it as uncharacterized. The record is from RefSeq and is a predicted model, not a curated record. NCBI's taxonomy places the organism in Eukaryota, Metazoa, Chordata, Cladistia, Polypteriformes, Polypteridae. The transcript is spliced from 2 exons.
UAAGAAUCUGAUGUUGGUUACAGUGGUGUCAGUAGUGGGAUACUCAUAUGAAUUUGAAUGAGAAAGACUGAAAUGUUGUUUAAUGUGUGAACCAGGGAGAGCAGUGCGCCAACAGAUGCCUGCAGUGAUUGAUGCUCAGGUUAGACUCGGACCAAGGUAGCUCAUCAUAGGGUGACGGUGCACAGUGGAUGAUAGGUAAGAAUCUGAUGUUGGUUACAGUGGUGUCAGUAGGGGGAUACCCAUGUGAAUUUGACUGGGAAAGACUGAAAUACUGUUUAAUGUGUGAACCAUGGAGAGCAGUGCGCCAACAGAUGUCUGCAGUGA